UUGACCUCGGAUCAGGUAGGAAUACCCGCUGAACUUAAGCAUAUCAAUA
RNAcentral lists this ribosomal RNA (49 nucleotides) under Sarocladium strictum. RNAcentral's name for it is "partial 28S ribosomal RNA". The record is from RNAcentral. RNAcentral also lists the same sequence under 128 other names. Lineage: Eukaryota; Fungi; Ascomycota; Sordariomycetes; Hypocreales; Sarocladiaceae.